GGUCAUUUAGAUAGAACAUGUUUCAUCUCAGUGCGCCUACUCCCUUAGUCCCAAAAUAAAUUAAUCUUAUACAAGAUUUGGCACAUCAUAGUACUACGAAUCUGGAUAUACUAGGAUGUGUCACAUUCCGUACGAGGUUGGUUUAUUUUGGGACGGAGGGAGGGAGUAUCUCGGAUGCCUACCGCAGUAUCUCAUGACC
This 199-nucleotide non-coding RNA is filed under the name Oryza sativa (Asian cultivated rice). The record is from miRBase by way of RNAcentral. RNAcentral also lists the same sequence under 2 other names. Lineage: Eukaryota; Viridiplantae; Streptophyta; Magnoliopsida; Poales; Poaceae.